Long non-coding RNA from Fukomys damarensis (Damara mole-rat), 2247 nucleotides. NCBI's taxonomy places the organism in Eukaryota, Metazoa, Chordata, Mammalia, Rodentia, Bathyergidae. The record is from Ensembl.
GUGUUUUGGAGUGAUUUUUAUUGCUUAAACGUAUGUGUGAGGAAUUAUAUCGAAUGUCACUGACCAAAGCAUUGUGCAAUUAUGUCUUGACCCAGUGCCUUCCACAAUCAUAUUAAUCCCAAAUCCCAUGAUUUAGCACAGAGCCAAACACAUGCCACAUCUACAUGACAUCGAAGAGUCUAACCUUGAGAGGCAGCAAACCAAAUGGAACUCCAUUCCUUGCCAAAAACUUUUCAGGCAUCUGUCACAACAUUUAUCUCCCUUCAAGCAACAGCAUCCGUGAUUCUCAAUAGUUUAUUACAUUCUAGCUGCGGCUCAAGGCUCUCCCACUCUAUCUUCUACUGGUCUUCCUCUGAAUUUAUGGAACACAUCUCUACCUCAAGCCCAGGAGGUCCCAUCUUCUUUCCUCUGCAGACUCACCUGACUCACCCUCCAAUUACUUUUACCACUGGGAAGGGUUGUGCCUGCCUCCUGGCACUUGGAGUUAGGAAGCCCUUGUCUCCUGUAUCAGAUGGAGGAAGGAUAUUGCCCUGUGCCUUUUCCUGAGCCUUUCAGAUUGUGAGUUUGUAGGAGAAGGCCUAGGACAGGCAGAGUUGCUGGGACUUUAUUGUUGACUCGAGAGUGUUUGAGAUGCUUACCUUUAUUGAUAUGUCUCAACCUAGCUCCACCUGCUCUUGGUAGGUGGAAUAUAACCAAUGUGCUCUUCACCGACAGCCCUUAUUUCUAGGUAGUGGAACGCAAAUCACGUUUUAGUUCCAUAUGAUUGGAGACUUUGACCAAUAAUUGUUUUUAAGAGCUGGGGAGAUAGCUUGGUAGUAGAGCACUGGGCUAGAAUGUUUGAGGCCUUCGAUUCAAUCCCCAGCACAACAACAACAACAAUAAAAAUUAAAAGUGCCUUCAAGUGAUAAUCUCUGCUGAGAGGGAGGUUUCUCCACGAAUGGGAUGAUUUUCUUGGAAUGUUGUUCAGCUUCUUCACAACUUCCUGUACGACGAGAAGCACUCAGAAAGUAGAAGCGUAGCUGCCUGACAUCUCACAAAAAUACCUAUUAGGACCUGAGUUGUGUCCUCCUAAAAUUCAUGGGUUGAAGCCAUGAGCCCCAGUACCUCAGCAUGUGACUUAUUUGGAGACAGGAAUUUAAGAAGGUGAAUAAGUUGAAAUGAAACUGUUGCCUUGAAACCUAACGAGGUCUUGCUGGUGCCCUUUGAAAGGAGGGAAUUAGGCCGUACAAGGAGGCAUGGGGCCUAUGUGCACAUAGACAAGCCCUCGAGAAGUCAGGCAAGGAGGCAGCAGGCGGCAAACCCACGAGAAAGGCCUCAGAGGAAAUGAAACUUGCUGAAACCUUGAUCCUGGCCUUCUACCCUGCAGAACUGUGAAGAAAUGAAUCUUUGUUGUUUAAAGCAUCUGUCUUUGGUGAUUUGUUAUGGCAGCCCUAGCAAAACUGUGCAGUCCUCGAUCCCUACACACUCAACAGAUCUAGAAGCUGCCUGGACAACUUCAAGGAAGGCCUGCACUCCAGCACUCUGUCUUGUGUGCCUUUCACAUGAAGACUCAAAGCUAGCUAUGGAGGUGCCUGCCUGUAAUCCCAGCACUUGGAAGCUGAGGCAGGAGAAUCACCACAAGUUUGCGGCCAGCAUGGACUACAUAGCAAGGCCCUGUUUCAAGUUUUUUUUAAAAAAAGGAAAAGAAAGAAUGACUAGUAUCCUGUAACUAAUCCUCCAUCUCCCCAAAGAACUUGGGGCUCCCCUUCUUCCCAUCUACACCCCAUCAGGCCCUUCCUCCCUCUCUGCAGCACAUGAUCUCUGCGGGCCUCCCACUUGCAGAAAUCUGCACGGUGGGAGGAACCCUUGUGUUCAGACUCCCUCCUCUCCCGGGAGCACCUUUCCAGCUCUCCUACACUGUAGUCUCCACUCAAGGUCGAGGUCACCGCACACCUCCAGGUGGAGGGACAUGGACCAGGCCCCACCCCUCCCUCUAUCUAGGCUGACGGAACCUUCGUCCCAAGGUUUACUCCCUAAUCCUUUUUUUUGCUCAUUGAGCUUAUUGGUACAUUUUAGGGAUACAGUACAGUUACAUUUAUCAUUGGGAUCUUGUGCCUUUACAUGACAGGUCUUGGUUCUCAUUGUUUCCCCUUGUCCCUGCCCUUCCUUGGCCCCCUCCUCCCUUCCCUAUUUACAAGUAUUUCUAAUCUUUUUAGUAAGCAGACCAGGGCAGCAGUGAUGACACUUACUCAGUGCUUUGUGGUGAAC